UGGGGAAUAUUGCACAAUGGGCGCAAGCCUGAUGCAGCCAUGCCGCGUGUGUGAAGAAGGCCUUCGGGUUGUAAAGCACUUUCAGCGGGGAGGAAGGCGUUAAGGUUAAUAACCUUGGCGAUUGACGUUACCCGCAGAAGAAGCACCGGCUAACUCCGUGUCAGCAGCCGCGGUAAUACGGAGGGUGCAAGCGUUAAUCGGAAUUACUGGGCGUAAAGCGCACGCAGGCGGUCUGUCAAGUCGGAUGUGAAAUCCCCGGGCUCAACCUGGGAACUGCAUUCGAAACUGGCAGGCUAGAGUCUUGUAGAGGGGGGUAGAAUUCCAGGUGUAGCGGUGAAAUGCGUAGAGAUCUGGAGGAAUACCGGUGGCGAAGGCGGCCCCCUGGACAAAGACUGACGCUCAGGUGCGAAAGCGUGGGGAGCAAACAGG
Molecule: ribosomal RNA, 429 nt
Filed under: Chloroflexota bacterium
Lineage: Bacteria; Bacillati; Chloroflexota
Description: Chloroflexi bacterium partial 16S ribosomal RNA
Rfam family: Bacterial small subunit ribosomal RNA
Source: RNAcentral